Molecule: ribosomal RNA, 574 nt
Filed under: Lodderomyces metapsilosis
Lineage: Eukaryota; Fungi; Ascomycota; Pichiomycetes; Serinales; Debaryomycetaceae
Description: eukaryotic LSU rRNA
Rfam family: Eukaryotic large subunit ribosomal RNA
Source: RNAcentral
CAACAGGGAUUGCCUUAGUAGCGGCGAGUGAAGCGGCAAAAGCUCAAAUUUGAAAUCUGGCACUUUCAGUGUCCGAGUUGUAAUUUGAAGAAGGUAUCUUUGGGUCUGGCUCUUGUCUAUGUUUCUUGGAACAGAACGUCACAGAGGGUGAGAAUCCCGUGCGAUGAGAUGACCCAGACCUAUGUAAAGUUCCUUCGAAGAGUCGAGUUGUUUGGGAAUGCAGCUCUAAGUGGGUGGUAAAUUCCAUCUAAAGCUAAAUAUUGGCGAGAGACCGAUAGCGAACAAGUACAGUGAUGGAAAGAUGAAAAGAACUUUGAAAAGAGAGUGAAAAAGUACGUGAAAUUGUUGAAAGGGAAGGGCUUGAGAUCAGACUUGGUAUUUUGUAUGUUACUCUUUCGGGGGUGGCCUCUACAGUUUACCGGGCCAGCAUCAGUUUGGGCGGUAGGAGAAUUGCAAAGAAAUGUGGCACUGCUUCGGUAGUGUGUUAUAGUCUUUGUCGAUACUGCCAGCCUAGACUGAGGACUGCGGCUUCGGCCUAGGAUGUUGGCAUAAUGAUCUUAAGUCGCCCGUCUUG